GCAUUAGUAGCUCAGUUCCUAGAGCGCCGAUCUUGUAAGCCGGAUGUCAGGGGUUAAAAUCCCCUCUACUGCU
Molecule: transfer RNA, 73 nt
Filed under: Lutjanus sebae (emperor red snapper)
Lineage: Eukaryota; Metazoa; Chordata; Actinopteri; Lutjaniformes; Lutjanidae
Description: tRNA-Thr
Rfam family: tRNA
About the family: Transfer RNA (tRNA) molecules are approximately 80 nucleotides in length. Their secondary structure includes four short double-helical elements and three loops (D, anti-codon, and T loops).
Source: RNAcentral